CAAGAAGUUUUUCUGAGCUUAUUCUUGAAAAGGGUCAUCCAAAUCUCAUUGUAACUUCAGCAGAUGAAAUAUUCAAUUGCGUUAUUCAAAUUUAUGCUGAAGAUGAAGAUGCUCCAUUGCCAUGCUAUGAAGAAAUACUUUUAUGUUCUUUAAAUACAACUCUGGAACAAGUAAUAGUGUUUUGGAUGAGAGCUUUGUUUGAUAAAAAUCCAGGAAAAAUUUAUUGUUUAGUUCAUGCUGAAAAACUUAGCUAUUUGGUAGCUGAUAAAGCCAUUGAUUUGCUUUCAUAUCUUUCACAAGGAAUAAAUGAUUAUAGAUUAGUUAUUGUGUGCAGUAACGAAUCUGAAGGAAAAUCCCAUGUUUUAGCACGUCUUAAUACUUAUCACCGUGAUUGGAAAAAGAAUGAUGAUACAGAUGCCCUGAAAAGAUAUUUGAAAAAGCAUUUAAUACCUAAGACU
Long non-coding RNA from Amphimedon queenslandica, 458 nucleotides. RefSeq lists it as uncharacterized. Lineage: Eukaryota; Metazoa; Porifera; Demospongiae; Haplosclerida; Niphatidae. The record is from RefSeq and is a predicted model, not a curated record. The transcript has 4 exons.